RNAcentral lists this ribosomal RNA (164 nucleotides) under Brachypodium boissieri. RNAcentral's name for it is "5.8S ribosomal RNA". It matches the Rfam family "5.8S ribosomal RNA". Rfam says of the family: 5.8S ribosomal RNA (5.8S rRNA) is a component of the large subunit of the eukaryotic ribosome. It is transcribed by RNA polymerase I as part of the 45S precursor that also contains 18S and 28S rRNA. Functionally, it is thought that 5.8S rRNA may be involved in ribosome translocation. The record is from RNAcentral. Lineage: Eukaryota; Viridiplantae; Streptophyta; Magnoliopsida; Poales; Poaceae.
GACACGACUCUCGGCAACGGAUAUCUCGGCUCUCGCAUCGAUGAAGAACGUAGCGAAAUGCGAUACCUGGUGUGAAUUGCAGAAUCCCGCGAACCAUCGAGUCUUUGAACGCAAGUUGCGCCCGAGGCCACCCGGCUGAGGGCACGCCUGUCUGGGCGUCACGC